This 5586-nucleotide long non-coding RNA is filed under the name Capra hircus (goat). Its description in RNAcentral is "lncRNA (ENSCHIG00010030380.1)". Lineage: Eukaryota; Metazoa; Chordata; Mammalia; Artiodactyla; Bovidae. The record is from RNAcentral.
AAAUGGCAAUUCACUCCAAUAUUCUUGCCUGGGAAAUCCCAUGGACAGAGAAGUCUGGCAGACUAUACACCAUGGGGUAGCAAAGAGUCGCAUUGGACUGAGCAUCUAAACAGCAACAACAAUAUGUAUCUGUAUCUGUCUAGCCUGAAAAGAAAGGAUAUUAAUAAGCAGGAUCCCAGUUAUUCCAGCCGGGAAUUUUAUAACAUCACCUCCCUUAAACCUCCUAGACAAUCACAUGAGGAAACGGGGGAUUUGCCAAGAUCUGGCAGCUGAUGAAAUCAGGUGGGAUCAAAUCUAGAUCUGAUGAGCCAGAAGCCAGUAUUCUCAGCUGACUCUGUUCCACCAACUUCCUGGUCAUACUCAAAGUGGGAAAAAGAAAGGUUUCAUGAAGAUCUUCAGAAAGAAUAGAAGGCUAUUGCAUCUGAUUGGUAUCAGCCUUUGCAAGUGGAGAGCACACUUUCUGGGAGAAAAGUCAUUCUCCACGGCACAUCACUCCCUGAGAACAACUGGUUACCUCCUUCAGAGGGAGGCGUGUGAUUCCUGCUGGCAGGGUGAAGCACCUGGCUUCAGGAAGGAUGAGACAUUCGGAGAUGUAAUCCAGUUCAUCCUAAAGACCUGGGCGGGGCAGCCUUUAGAAGGCCGUUCCUUGCUCCACAAGCCCCAAGGAUUUGAAUGCCAGCCAGAAUGACGCCAAGGAUCCUUCCUCUUUCCUUAUGGCAGGGACCGGCUUCCUGGCUGGAUGUUUGUCAUCCACACCUGCAGACCUUAGGAAACCUAGGGUGACCUCAGUAGGUGCAGCCUUGACUUCCUUCCCACCACCACCCCUGAGAUGUGGGAACUGAAUGAAAAUCCACACUGGGACCAUCCGCUCAAGCAAACGGGUCAGGGUGGAGAACUUCCUUGCUUUAUGGUCAGCAAAUCAGGUGUUGGGCUGCCUCCUGGGACAUCUGAUCAAAGGACAAGACCAUCCAGGCAGUGGGUCAGGCUGUUUUCUUGCAGGAUGGUGUGGUGGGGCUUCUAUUUUGUGGCUCAUCCGGAAGCAGAUGGUAUUUAUGUAUUUAUUUAGGCUGUUCCAGGUCUUUGUUCCAGCCUGCGGGCUUCUCUAGUUGCGGCUCAGUCGCCUUGAGACAUGUGAGAUCUUUCCAGACCAGGAAUCAGACUCAUGCCCCUUGCAUUGGAAGUCGGAUUCUUAACCACUGGACUACCAGGGAAGUCCCAGAUGGUUCUGAUUCUCUCGUGAUACUCCCAGAGCCUGUGCUAGAGCAAGGAAGCCACCCCGUUGGGUUCUUGGACGUUGGAUUAAGCCAGACAAUCAGACAGCCGCCUUUGCGCACUGUGCUUUCUUAGCCUCUCCUAAAAGGGCCCCCUUUUGCAUUAGUGAACACUAUGCCAGCUGUAGGACCAUUUCUGUGAUACCACUAAGCGCUAAAUUGGUUCAGUCGCAUCCCACUCUUUGCAGCCUUAUGGACUGUAGCCCACCAGCCUCUUCUGCCCGUGAGAUUCUCCAGGUACAAGUACGGGAGUGGGUUGCCAUUUCUUCCUUGAGGCGGCCUUCCUGACUCAGGGAUCAAACUCCUGUCUCUUAUGUCUCCUGCAUCGGCAGACCGGUGCUUUACCACCAAUACCACCUGGGAAGCUGGUGCUACUAAGGAUGUGGCCCAAUCCAGCUGACAGCAUUGAUCCCCUUUUUCAGGCCUCUUAAGAGAGAUUCCUCUGGGUUUGAAUAACCAGAAAAAUGUGUGUUUCUCCUGAAUGUGAGCCUGUUUUCUUCUCCGGGCAUAAUGAAUCUGGUAACUUACAGAAUUUCCCUCUUUACGCUGGGUGUUGGGAAAUCCAAAGCUAAAUAGGUUGCCUACUUCCAACAACUUGCACAGUCCCACAGGGCAUGUAUCGUCUGUACACUCUCUGCACUUGUGUUCGUCCGGUUUUCCUACCCUUGCUUUCUUUUUGCCCUGAUUGCUUCAUCUCUUAGUUGUUGUUGAUCACAUUGGAUAUAUUCUAAAGGUCAGAGUAGGCCUACUAAAAUCACAAAUGACUCCCAAAAUCUCAAAGCAGUAAGAGAGGAUGACCUCUGACUUGGGCUUCACAGGUGGCUUAGUGGUAAAGAAUCCACCUGACAAUGCAAGGAGACAUAGGAGGCAUGGGUUUGAUCCCUGGGUACUGAAGAUCCCCCCGGAAAAGGAAAUGGCAACACCCCCCAGUAUUCUUGCCUGGGAAAUCCCAUAGACAGAGAAGACUGGUAUGCUACAGUCCACGGGGUUACAGAGUGAGACAUGACUGAGCAAUUGGGCACACACACACACGGCCUGUCACUUGACUUAAGUCUAAUGCAGCUAUUAUGUGGUGAUUUCCCUCCUCAGGAACCCAAGUCCUUUUCACCAAGAGGUAGAAAGAUAGGAAGCAUAUCAGAAAAUUGACUGCUCCAACCUGGAAAGCACACACCAUUUCUUUGCACUUGCCAUUGGCCAACACUAGUCACACAGAUGCAAAAUUUCUUGGAAAUAUAUUUCCCAGUUGGGCACACUCUUCCUCCAAGCAACUCUAUAUGGGAAGGAACAUGAAUCCUUGAUGGCGGGCUCUGCUUUCUCUGCCACACUCCCUAAACUGUUCUUGGAAUAAGAAAAUUAAACUAACUCAAUAGACUCUAGAUAAAAAGGAAAUUUCUCCUUGCCAAAGAACCAAUCACUCGAAAAGUAACCAGAAUUGGUGAAGAUCUGUGGCUGGACUCUAUGCUGGGUAUUGUAGGUGACGCAAAAAAGGUAAGUUGUACAGUUCUCGCCUUCAAGCAGAUUACAGUGUUUCACGUACACCUUCUACCCUUCCACUUCCAUGGUUAGGUAGAGAUGUAGCCGCCCUCAAAAUCAUUCUCUGGUAGAGACAUAAUUCUACCAGAUAUCUUUCCUGUCCUCAUCAAGUUCUGUAAAGAGAAGAGUCAGACUUGACAAGGAGCUAGCUUGUUUUGCGGCAUAAACUAAAGGCCUUCUGAAGCCACCUUUAGGGCAGCCAGUGAGAAGCAAGGAGGCGGGCACUCUUCAUUUCUGGCCUUGGGUAAAGGGUUUAAUUUCCUCUUGCCUGGAUUCCUAACCUGUAAAUUGGAGAUAAUGAUGUUUGCCUACCUUGCCCUCAGAAUUAAUUAGUGGUUGUGUUGCGCUUUUUGUCUAUAGAUGAAAGGCUUUCAUGUAAACAUCAUCACCAUCAUCAUCAUGACCAUUAUUACCUUGGGUCCUGAAGAUAAAUUGAUGGAAUUCCCACACAAAGUUUCCAGGAGACUUGACCUUUCUAACCUUUCAGUCUAAUCCUCUGCACUUUUAAAAAGAACUGACCCACUUUCCCCCUCUUUCUGACCUUGCUGUCAAGGACUGAGAAAAUGAGAGCUAGUCAUCAUUUCUUAGAGACCUGUGUUUCACACACCCCAACUUGACGAUGACUUUCUCCCAGCAAUCAAGACUAUACCAUUUCAACCACUCCCUGAAUCCAGAUGUAAGAGAUAGAUCAGAAGACAAGGGAAGGGAAAACACUUAAAGAAACUUUUUAAAACAUCUCGGAACUCUUCAAAAAAUUAUUUCAUUUUUUUUUCUCCCAGGAUAUCUAACUAUAUAUAUUGACCUUUUCUAUUUACUUUUCUAUUUACAUUAUAAGUAUUAUUUCCUUUCUUCCAGGUAGCUCAGUGGUAAAGAAUCUUCCUGGCAAUGCAGGAGAGGCAGGUUCAAUCCCUGGGUCGGGAAGAUCCCCUGGAGGAGNNNNNNNNNNNNNNNNNNNNNNNNNNNNNNNNNNNNNNNNNNNNNNNNNNNNNNNNNNNNNNNNNNNNNNNNNNNNNNNNNNNNNNNNNNNNNNNNNNNUCCCCUGGAGGAGGGCAUGGCAACCCACUCCAGUAUUCUUGCCUGGAUAAACCCAUGACAGAGAAGGCUGAUAAGCUACAGUUCACGGGGUUGCAAAGAACCAGACAUGACUGGGCACGCAUGCAGAGGCACAAUUAUUUCCUUUGAACUUAGUACCAUGGGCGGGAUCCCAAGUUCUAGGGAGCUUGUCUGUCUCUGAACUCAGUAAAAGGUCAAACUCUGACGUGAAAACUGGAGUCCUUCCAGGGAGAUUGACAAGGCUUUGGACAACAUCCUACUUUUGGAAGUGGGAGCUAGAAGCAGAGGUGGUAUGGGUGAUGAAGUGAUAGGAACAGCACCAAGAAAAUAGGGUCAGGUUAUCAGAGGAAAUCCUGAAGUUUCCUUGGUACCUAAAUGUAGUGUUCCUGAGCCAGUACUCAGUUGGCAUAACCCAAUGGGGACUUAUACACAGUCCCAGUUCCCAGGACUAGAUUAAUUGGGGUCUUGAUAUUUCUGGGUCACCAAUAAAAUAGUUUGCUAAAGCAGUGUAAACCCUUCCACUUAUCACUGGUGCUGGCACUUCCUCAUUCUAAAUGAGCCCUGAAAUGUGAAAGCUGGUCGGGAUUGGAAGAGCUGGAAUGAGUCAGCUACCCCUGUGAGUCCAGCCCCAGCUUGCCUUGUUUCCAGUGACAAGUUGUACAAGGGGAUUAAAGUUUUGAUUCUAAGUUCUUGGUGACUCAUAUGCUUAGUCAGGCAGUAAUGAGCGUAGCAAAUAUGUUUAUGCCUUUUCCCGUGUGCUAGGCAUUGUUCUUCCAGUCCUUGGCAUGAAAUAAGUCAUUUAAACCACCCUAGGAAGCAAUUUCUAUUAUUACCCCUACUUUAGAGAUAAGGAAACAGAGGCAGAAAGGGUUUAACUGUCUUACGCAAUCUUUCAAGGCCAGGCAGAGGCGGAGCCAGUCUUUGAACCCAAGCUAUCUAUACUCGGAACCCCUAAACUACAGUGACUCUGCUGCUGCUAAGUCGCUUCAGUCAUGUCUGACUCUGUGCGACCCCANNNNNNNNNNNNNNNNNNNNNNNNNNNNNNNNNGGAUUCUCCAGGCAAGAAUACUGGAGUGGGUUGCCAUUUCCUUCUCUGACAAUGACUCUAUGAGUGUUCUUUUCUGUGUUGUGUAGCAUUACUCUGCAUUAGAAAGUCAGUCCCUAUUCCUGGACUGAAUUUAAACGAUCUGUUUUUUUCCGCAAAUUGGAAUUUUCAUGCCUACAGAAGACCUGCAAAUACUGGGUUGGCCAAAAUGUUUGAUUCUUUUGGCCAACCCUGUAUGAUCAACCACAAAGGAGGGAAAAGGCAGAGCCCAGCAGAAUGGAUGCUACCUAGUGACCACGUGGUACAGAUAGAAACACACGCUGAGGGUGAAAGGAGGGUACUGAGGGCAUGGGUUCAGUCCUUCCAUGGCCAAGACAGGGUAUGGGUUUGGUUUUUUUUUGAUUAAAAACAAAACAAAACAAAAAAACACUCUAAACCAAGAUGCAGAUAUCUGUUGCUGAUGAGAAAAUCUCUCAGAAAGUAGAAGAGACAAGAAGACCUUUUAACAAAUUUUGCUGGAAUAACUGGAGAUCCACAGGCAAAAAAAAAAAAAACACCCCAAAUUAAUUUAAGCAUGCUGCUGCUGGUAAGUCGCUUCAGUCGUGUCUGACUCUGUGCGACCCAUAGAUGGCACCGUACCAGGCUCCCCCGUCCCUGGGAUUCUCCAGGCAAGAACACUGGAGU